RNAcentral lists this ribosomal RNA (162 nucleotides) under uncultured bacterium. Its description in RNAcentral is "partial 16S ribosomal RNA". The record is from RNAcentral.
GGUGAAAGGCGAAGCUGUAGCAGCCACGCCGCGUGAGUGAUGACAGCCUUCGGGUUGUAAAGCUCUGUCGACAGGGACGAAGCUGACGGGACUGUACGUGUUGCUACGGACCGUUUCAUUACAUCAAACCUGGCCUAUAAUAGCCCCCCGCCGCUAUUUAAU